Molecule: long non-coding RNA, 2676 nt
Filed under: Homo sapiens (human)
Lineage: Eukaryota; Metazoa; Chordata; Mammalia; Primates; Hominidae
Description: HSALNT0294215
Source: RNAcentral
GGGGCGAGGAAGCUGCCGGGGAAGUGAGAUGACGGUCGCGGGGGUGCCCAGGAGCCCUGAAAAACUUGUGCCCUGGGCACGGCAAAAUCUGCAGGUUGCAGAAAGUCUCAACUGAUCCUGGCAUACCCCGAGGUGCCGACUUUUAGAGCUGAAGAUGCAAGAAAGAUUGGGAUCCUGCGAUGCACCGAACCUGUCUCUCGAAGUGUGUGCGCCCUGGUACAUUGAUACUCUUGGCCUUUGGUUCCUUGCGGUGUGCGUGUUUGUGUAUGCGGAGUGUGUUAUCUUUCUUUCUAGGGUGACACACCAUUUAUUUGAGAGGCGGGAAAGGCAGAAUCACUAGUUUAAUAUUCUGAAAAGCCAAAGUUAUGCCAUUUUGCUUGAGAGUGAGUGCAAGCUCUUGACUCCCAGGAACAGUGCAGCUAACAAUUCACCUCAGGCGAGGGCAGAAGCAAUAGCCAGCUUCUUGGUUCUGCCUGUGGCUCAGUUCCUACAUAAUUGAGUACCAAAUAAUAUGUAAACCUCUAGGGAAGCAAAAAAGAGUAAUUCAGCUUCUACCCCCGAAGUUAUUGGAGGUAUAAUGGAGAGACUGAGACGUAAUCAAUUACAAUGUCAUCCUCAAUAAUAAUUAACAUGUACUGUAUUUAGAGUUUAUUAUGGGGACAAUUACAAUAUAUUAAUAAUAUACUGUAACAAUAACAGGCAACACUUAUUGAGCACUUAGGUGUUGUGCACUGCAUGCAUUCAUAACAUGAUAAAGUACUUACUGUUUUUACUGUUUUACAGCUUCCUGUGUUAAACAAUUUGCUACAAGGUCACACAAUUUUAACUAGAAGACUGAGAUGUGAACCUGGGUGGUCUGAUGUGAACACCACUGUCUGGUAAUCCCAACGCUCUGCUGCUUUGCGACAGAGAAUGUUUUAGGGAACACACAGACUAUGUACUUAACCAAAUCUGGAAUUUGCCGUAAGAUAUUAAUCAGAGAAGUAAUGAUACUUGCAUUUUAAAAUGAAGGCUUUGGCAGUAGGAGAAGGGUGAAUAAGAGGCUUAAGAGCCUGAAGGGAGAAAUGCCAAUGAUACAAUUAUCCAGCAAGAAAUAAUCAGAAGUUGAAGUAAGGCAAUGAUGGUAGGGAUGGAAUAUAAAAAAGCUGUACCCCUAUCUGACAUCUUUAUUGGGGGAACCCGCCCCCAAUAUUUCAACGUAGGUUCUUUCUAUUUUCCAUAAGUGUUGGCCAGCUGAGAAAUAAAGAGAGACAGUAUAAAGAGAGGAAUUUUACAGCUGAGCCACCGGGGGUGACAUCACAUAUCGGUAGGACCAUGAUGCCCGCCUGAGUCUCAGACCAGCAAGUUUUUAUUAAGGGUUUCAAAAGGGGAGGGGGUGUAAGAACAGGGAGUAGGUACAAAAGUACAAAGAUCACAUGCUUCAAAAGGCAAAAAGACCUUACUACUAGUAAGGGUCUAACAAAGAUCACAUGCUUCUGAGGGAACAGGACAAAGGGCAAAAGCAGAACUACUUAUAAGAGUCCAACAAAGAUCACAAGGCAAAGGGCAAAAGCAGAGCUACUGAUAAGGGUCUAUGUUCAGCAGUGCACAUAUUGUCUUAAUAAACAUCUUAAAUAACAGAAAACAGGGUUCAAGAGCAGAGAACUGGUGUGACCACAAAUUUACCAGGGCGGAGUUUUUCCCCACCCUAGUAAGCCUGAGGGUACUGCAGGAGACCAGGGCGUAUCUCAGUCCUUAUCUCAACCGCGUAAGACAGACAUUCCCAGAGCGGCUGUUUAUAGACCUCCCCACAGGAAUGCAUUCCUUUCCCAGGGUAUUAAUAUUUAUAUUCCUUGCUAGUAAAAGAAUUUAGCAAUAUCUCUCCUACUUGCACAUCCAUUUAUAGGCUCUCUGCAAGAAGAAAAAUAUGGCUGUUUUUGCCCAACCCCACAGGCAGUCAGACCUUAUGGUUGUCUUCCUUUGUUCCCUAAAAAUUGCUGUUAUUCUGUUCUUAUUCAAGGUGCACUGAUUUCAUAUUGUUCAAACACAGAUGUUUUACAAUCAACUUGUACAGUUAACACAAUUAUCACAGUGGUCCUGAGGUGAUGUACAUCCUCAGCUUACGAAGAUAACAGGAUUAAGAGAUUAAAGUAAAGACAGGCAUAAGAAAUUAUAAAAGUAUUAUUUGGGAACUGAUAAAUGUCCAUGAAAUCUUCACAAUUUAUGUUCCUCUGCCGUGGCUCCAGCCGGUCCCUCCGUUCGGGGUCCCUGACUUCCCGCAACACAUCUUAGAUUCUUAUUACAGAAACUUAACAUUCCCAGAAGAAGCCUCGCCUUUUUAUUUCUAAUUUUGGCUAUGAAUUCCUAGCUAUGACCCAUUUGCCCCAUUCUAACUAUUUCCAGUGGUAGGGGGAAAAGAACAAGACAGUAAUAUAAUGUAGAGAUGAGCUAAUUGUGGUAAUAAUAAGCACUUGUGUAGUGCUUUCAUAUACAUGAUCUCUCUUAAUGUUCAUAACAAAGCUGUGAGGUUGGUGCUCUUAUCUCUCUUUGGUUAAUGAAGGACUGAGGCCUAGGGAAUUGGAAGUGACCUGCCAAGAUGACAGAACAAUAAAGUGGCAGAGUUGGGUUAAAUCCUUGGUUAUUUUAAUGACAAAUGACAGACCAAUAAUUGAUUCCUCAAUAAAACAGUGGAAGUCA